This 686-nucleotide ribosomal RNA is filed under the name uncultured bacterium. Its description in RNAcentral is "bacterial SSU rRNA". It matches the Rfam family "Bacterial small subunit ribosomal RNA", at positions 97 to 796 of the family's 1533-position model. The record is from RNAcentral.
GGCGAACGGGUGAGUAACACGUGGGCAACCUGCCCUCAGCUCUGGGAUAACUCCAAGAAAUUGGGGCUAAUACCGGAUAUGACUGCUGACCGCAUGGUCGGGUGGUGGAAAGAUUUAUCGGCUGGGGAUGGGCCCGCGGCCUAUCAGCUUGUUGGUGGGGUAGUGGCCUACCAAGGCGACGACGGGUAGCCGGCCUGAGAGGGUGACCGGCCACACUGGGACUGAGACACGGCCCAGACUCCUACGGGAGGCAGCAGUGGGGAAUAUUGCGCAAUGGGCGGAAGCCUGACGCAGCGACGCCGCGUGGGGGAUGACGGCCUUCGGGUUGUAAACCUCUUUCAGCAGGGAAGAAGCGAAAGUGACGGUACCUGCAGAAGAAGCGCCGGCUAACUACGUGCCAGCAGCCGCGGUAAUACGUAGGGCGCAAGCGUUGUCCGGAAUUAUUGGGCGUAAAGAGCUCGUAGGCGGCUUGUCACGUCGGGUGUGAAAGCCCGGGGCUUAACCCCGGGUCUGCAUCCGAUACGGGCAGGCUAGAGUGUGGUAGGGGAGAUCGGAAUUCCUGGUGUAGCGGUGAAAUGCGCAGAUAUCAGGAGGAACACCGGUGGCGAAGGCGGAUCUCGGGGCCAUUACUGACGCUGAGGAGCGAAAGCGUGGGGAGCGAACAGGAUUAGAUACCCUGGUAGUCC